UCCAAACCUUCUUCACUAAGUAUUAUGCUUUUUUCCACAAUUCAUAUCUGGUGCUGUAAAAAUUCUGGAAAACUAUAAUCUUUUCCCUUAUUAAUAACUAAGUAUCUAAAGAUUCUAAAACACUUGCAGAAAUCCAAAAAUUCUUCAUUACUGCAUUUUUUUUUUACAAUUGAUACUACUUGUGUCUCUAAUGUUGAGUACAAUCAUAUUGUAUUACUGCUAAAAAAAUACCCGAAUAAAGUUCGACAACAAUGUUUUUAAAUGUGGAUUAUAUAUAUAGAUUCUUGCUACAUUAGUAUUGUUAUAUUUGUCAUGCUCAACUUCUGUGUUCUGGUUGAAGAGUGACGUAUGUAUUUAAUACUGCAAUAAAAGCUUACUCUUCUUCUUUAUCUUCCUACUAAACUCACGCCUUCGACAAUAAUAUCUAUAAAUGUUUUGCCUUCCACGAUUGCACUUGAUAACAACUGAAAGAAUUCUGUUAUCUAUAGACAAAAUAAGGAUAAAAUAGACGUCAAGCCUUCAACAACAAUAUCUAAAGAUGAGGUCACGCCUUAAACAACAAUAUCUAUAAAUAUUGUUUACAUAUAGUUUAGUGUUAUGGAGUUUAGACUAUAUUAGAUUCUUAUUAUAACCUUGGAUUUUGGUAUUGCAUAGAAGUUCAACUUCCUGGUACUUUUCUUCCUCUAAAACGAGUAUUCGACAACAAUAUCUAUAAAGGUUGUUUAUAUACAAUUUAGUGAUAUGAAGUUUAAACUAUAUUAGAUCUUCAUUGUAGCCUCAGAAAUUGAUAUUGGAUAUAUAGUCGUUCAACUUCCUCCCCUGUUAGCAUUUCUUUCUCUACACUUUGUUGUUCUGCUUGAAGCAGCAUAUGCAUUAAAUAUAGCGGCUACAUUGUAAUGAUCAGGAAUAUUUUUUCCUAGCAAAAUUGUCAUGCCUUAUUAUUUUUGUUUGAUUAAAUAUAGAUUGUUACUAUAUUAGCUUUGUUAUAUUUUUCCUGCUCUACUCUUUUCUGUUCUGCUUGAAAAUGUUAACAUACAUAAUGAUCAGGAAAAAAUACUUUCUUCCCAGCAAUAUUAUAAAAAUCAUGAAAUCUAUUUUCCAACUUUCUCAUAUCUUGAUUUUUUGCCGUAUCUAAGUGCUUUUUCUCUUCUUUCAAAAGACACCCCUCUUUUUACUCUUUGAAAAGUCAUGCCACUCUCUUCAUCUUAAUUGUAACCAAUCGUUGUUUACUCUUCCUCAUAUUUUAUCCUCGCUACAGCAAAUCCCAUCUUUCUUUCUCAUUUUUUGUUUGCUGCAUUAUGAUCUGUUUCUACCUCAUAUUUUUCUUAUAUUUAGCUCUUCUUCCUUCAAAAAGUACAGCUCUUUUUACUCAUUCAAAAGUUAUGCCUCUUACUCUUCUUCUUUCUCUUCCUACUAAACUCAUGCCUUCGACAACAAUAUCUAUAAAUAUUGUCUUCCCACGCUUGCAGUGGAUAACAACUGCAUGAAUUCGGAUAUCUAUAGACAAAAUAAGGAAAAGACAGAGUGACGCCUUCAACAAUAAUAUCUAAAAAUAAAGUCACGCCUUAACCAACAAUACCUAUAAAUGUUGUUUAUAUAUAAUUUAGUGUUAUGGAGUUUAGACUAUAUUAGUUUCUUUUUUAUAGCCUUAGAUUUGGUAUUGCAUAAUAAUUCAACUUCCUGUUACUUCUCUUCCUCCAAAACUGACACAUUCGACAAUAAUAUCUAUAAAUGUUGUUUAUAUAAAAUUUAGUAUUAUGAAGUUUAGAGUAUAUUAGAUUUUCAUCGUAAAAGCAUCAUAAAGGAAGAAGGUUUGGAAUAGUGACGUGAUGUCCUAUUUUUCCUCCCACUCGCCAGACCUAAAAAUUUUAUUCUUUUUUCUUGGAUGAGAAGAAGAACACGAAAUUCAUUAGCGGAGAAAUCUGACUACGAUUAUCCAGAAAGGUCCUAUUAUCUCAGGGGUAAUGCAAUAUAGAUGGAAACAUUGAUCAUACAAGCUCAUCAAAGUGAGUUAGCAAAAAAUUUACUCUUUUUUCCUUCUAAUUACAACUUUUGUUAGUCAAUGUGGAAGAUUUUGUUUCCAAUGUUAACGUGAUGAUUUAAAUGUGGUUCUGUAAUACAAGUAGAAAACGUGAUGUGUUUAAUGUAAAUCGAUUCGUUAGUUCUAGAUUUCUCUACUAAAGGAUGCAGAUUAUUCUGUGUGCAUAUUAGUAGACAUUGAUAUUUUUUUUUAUCAAACAUCAUGUCUUCAUAUACUAACGAGGGCCUGGAUUAGUCAUAUGAAGGUUAGCUUGAUGAUUGUUCUAACGAUUCUAGGAUGCAUUUGAGCCCUAAGGAUGUGUAGCAAACAUAUAUGCAGACUCCUCUGAAGAUUGCCUACUUUGUUGUCUAUCCAUUUGCUUUUAUUAAACCAUGCAGUGCUCAUCGAGUUAUGACUCUGAAAGAUGUUAAAAAACUGAUAUGCACCCCGCAAUCAAAGUCAAGGCAAAAUAGUAGAUCAUUAAAAUUUGCACAUCCAAAUCAGCAUUCUCGGGCAAGCUUGGCAUUCGAUCGGAAGACCAAAGUACAGACUGAAGGAGGAAAGCAUUAAUGUUAUGAAGACCAAAGGUUAAUUCGUUUAUUGUUGCCUAUUCAUUUUUGGAGGCUAUGCUGCUCCAUUUCUUUUGUGUUUGCGACAGGUUACCAGAAGAGACGCAGACAGAGCAUAACAGAGAUAGAAAUGAAGUCUACUCCAUUUGAAUAGAGAGCUGAUUGUUCCAUUUAGAUUUGGGGAUGUAAAGCGUUGUCCCACUUUUUACUCUAAAUGAUCGUUUACUUCUUCUUGGACUUGUGAUGUUGUGGUGAUGAAUCUUGCUGAUAUAAUAUUCAUAUAUUUUACUUUCA
This is a long non-coding RNA of Nicotiana tabacum (common tobacco), 2883 nucleotides long. RefSeq lists it as uncharacterized. The record is from RefSeq and is a predicted model, not a curated record. Lineage: Eukaryota; Viridiplantae; Streptophyta; Magnoliopsida; Solanales; Solanaceae.